GAGACUUAUCCAAGGUCACCCAGCAGACCGGGGACAAAACUGGAAUUUGAAUUUACAUUCUUCUGACUUCCAGGCCUUGGGGUCUACCAGCUAGGCCUUGCUGCUUCUCCUGUCAGUAAUUUCAGGGCCUUGGCUGCAUGAGGAGAAAAGGCAGAAGUCCAGCUUCUUUCUGCCUCCCUGGAGAAGCUUUCCAGACCAGCCCGCUCAGAGAUGAGGUAACUGAGGCACAGAGAAG
Molecule: long non-coding RNA, 235 nt
Organism: Tachyglossus aculeatus (Australian echidna)
Lineage: Eukaryota; Metazoa; Chordata; Mammalia; Monotremata; Tachyglossidae
Exons: 3
Source: RefSeq, a predicted model, not a curated record